Molecule: long non-coding RNA, 1804 nt
Filed under: Homo sapiens (human)
Lineage: Eukaryota; Metazoa; Chordata; Mammalia; Primates; Hominidae
Description: GSK3B divergent transcript, transcript variant 5 (GSK3B-DT)
Source: RNAcentral
AGGCGCUGGAGUUGGGGCAAAAGGGAGAGGGAGGGAGCCCGAAACUCGCGGCGGCGGCCAAUCGGCUCUCACUGCCGUCCAAUCGCAAGACCUAGCUGCAGUGUGAUUGGCCUUCGGCCCCGGUCCCAGGAGCGGGGAGAUGCCUGACUCGGGUCGUGGCUGACGACCCGACGGUUCGCCUGCGGCCGCCUCCAACAACGGUGGAAACCGCACACAGGGACCGCGGGCCCUCGGUGCAGCAAAUCGGAAAGUGCUGCGGUCGGCGGCCCUGGGCUCUGAGCGCUCAAGCGAGCAGAGGGGUGGAGGGGCUCUCCCCACCCACAGGAGGCUCUCGGCGGGGCGCAGCCAAUUCUGCGCGCCCAAGGCUCCCCUCUGCCGUGGAUCGCGUGUGCCGAGUGUUGGCCUCUUCCCCGAAAGGGCCAGACGGACCAAGGGGGCCUUCCCAGCCGGCUGCAAGCUCUCAGACGCUAAAAUGGGAACAAAGCUUCCAGAAAGGCAGCGCCUUUGGGCGGCCGCGCCCCGCCCAGCCGCGGGGGCCAUUGAUACAGAGGCUUGCUGCGCUUGGUGUGCGCGGCCCGGCCGGGCCUCUGGAAACGCCCAUGAGAAAUGAGCUCAUGCUGGAUGCGCGCGCUCCUUGGGCGCAACUGCCCAGCGCAAAACGGGCCCCGAAAGCAGGUGAGUGGAGGACACUUCAAUCUAAAGUGAUCUUAAAGGAGGAGUAGUAGGAUUUGAAGAUGAAGAAAGAAGAGGGGAGGAAACGGGUCAUGAUCCAGACCCCAGGAGAGGGUUCUUGGAUCUCACACAAGAAAGAAUUCAGGGUGACCCCACAGUGCAAAAGUCAAAGCAAGUAUUAAGAAAAUGAAGGAAUAACAGAAUGGCUACUACAUAGAGCAGCCCUGAGGGCUGCUGGUUGCCCUUUUUUUUUUUUCCUUUGAGAUGGAGUUUUCGUUCUUGUUGCCCAGGCUGGAGUGCAAUGGCGUGAUCUCGGCUCACCACAACCUCCACCUCCCAGGUUCAAGCAAUUCUGCCUCAGCCUCCCGAGUAGCUGAGAUUACAGGCAUGCGCCACCACGCCCGGCUAAUUUUGUGUUUUUAGUAGAGUGAGGGUUUCUCCAUGUUGGUCAGGUUGGUCUUGAACUUCCGACCUCAGUUGAUCUGCCCGCCUUGGCCUCCCAAAGUACUGGGAUUACAGGCAUAAGCCACCGCACCUGGCCUGGUUGCCCAUUCUUUAUGGUCGUUUCUUGAUGAUAUGCUAACCAAGGAGUGGAUUAAUCAUGCCUCCCCUUUUUGGACCACAUAGGGUCUAAACUGUCAUGGCACAUUUGUAAACUGUCAUGGCACUGGUGGGAGUGUAGCAGUGAGGACGACCAGAGGUCACUCUCGUCGCCAUUUUGGUUUUGGUGGGUUUUGGCCAGCUCCUUUACUGCAACCUGUUUUAUCAGCAAGGUCUUUAAGACCUGUAUUUUGUGCUGACCUCCUAUCUCAUCCUGUGACUUAGAAUGCCUUAACUGACCAUCUGGGAAUGCAGCCCAAUAGAUUUCACCCUCAUUUUGCCCGGCUCCUGUUUAAGAUGGAGUUGCUCUGGUUCACAUGCCUCUAACAAAUCCUUUUAGUUUUUCAUGCUUGUCACAUGUUUACUUCUAAGGGUAUAAUCAUGUGGUUUACUAUAUUAUUACCGAUUAGAUUAUUUUGAACUACUUCAAUUUUAUUUAUUUUACCUCAUUUCCAUUCACAUUUUUUGAAAAGAGCUUUUUUAUACAAGAGUGUAAAUAUUUUCACAUUGAAUAAAUGAAUUGAAAACAGUA